RNAcentral lists this ribosomal RNA (804 nucleotides) under Triticum aestivum (bread wheat). RNAcentral describes it as "partial small subunit ribosomal RNA". Lineage: Eukaryota; Viridiplantae; Streptophyta; Magnoliopsida; Poales; Poaceae. The record is from RNAcentral.
CUUGUAAACUGGAAGCGGGCCUACUCCCCCAAGAUUGUUGGUGGGUUAGGUAUCAAGAACAUCGAAUAUUUCAGGCGGGCCUUGCGCUUUAGAUGGGAAUGGUUCAGAUGGUUUGACGUCGAUCGACCGUGGAAAGGAUCUCCUACCCCAUGUGACGCCAUUGAUAGACAGUUGUUCUCGAGCUUCUCCUCUAUUCAGUUGGGUAAUGGUUGGCUUGCGCUGUUCUGGAUGGAUAGAUGGAUGCAUGGGAAGGCCCCUUAUAUGAUUGCACCGGAGAUUUUCAAGUUGGCGCGUUUCAAGAAAAUUACUGUCAAAGAAGCUUUGACAAACGACGGAUGGAUGCAAGGGCUGCAAAGAAUGAACAACGAGGAGCAGCUAGCGCAAUUUGUCGGAAUUUGGGAGGAGGUUCAGCUGGUGAGCCCUUCAGAAGCAAAGGAUGUGAUCAGCGGGUCACUCACAGCAAACGGCUCCUACUCUGCGAGCUCUACGUAUGGUAUCUAGUUUGCGGCCAGGAUCGAGCAGCCGGAUCUUGAGAGAAUAUGGAGAUGCAAGAUGGAGGGGAAGGUCAAAUUUUACCUCUCGAUCACAGAUUGGUGGAGAAGACUAUGCUCCCGACGCGGUCCGGUGAGCAAGGUGCAGGAGGAUAUCACGUUGGCAGCCUACAUUGCAUGGCACCUGUGGAAGGAACGCAACAGGAGGAUCUUUCAAUAGAAGGAAUUGAUUGUGUUCAUGUUGGCUGAUUUAAUUAGAGAUGAUGUAAAAUUAUACUAUGAGGCGAAUGGUCAGGGUCAGGUUAUUGCAUAA